Molecule: ribosomal RNA, 482 nt
Filed under: uncultured bacterium
Lineage: Bacteria
Description: partial 16S ribosomal RNA
Rfam family: Bacterial small subunit ribosomal RNA
Source: RNAcentral
GAUGAACGCUAGCGGCAGGCCUAAUACAUGCAAGUCGAACGAGAUUAAGAGGCUUGCUUCUUAUGAAAGUGGCGCACGGGUGCGUAACGCGUAUGCAACCUACCUUAAUCAGGGGGAUAGCCCGAAGAAAUUCGGAUUAAGACCGCAUAAAAGCACAGGAUAGCAUUAUCCAAUGUUCAAAUAUUUAUAGGAUUAAGAUGGGCAUGCGUGUCAUUAGCUAGUUGGCGGGGUAACGGCCCACCAAGGCGACGAUGACUAGGGGAUCUGAGAGGAUGACCCCCCACACUGGUACUGAGACACGGACCAGACUCCUACGGGAGGCAGCAGUAAGGAAUAUUGGUCAAUGGAGGGGACUCUGAACCAGCCAUGCCGCGUGCAGGAAGACAGCCCUCUGGGUCGUAAACUGCUUUUAGUCGGGAAUAAACCUUUCUACGUGUAGGAAGCUGAAUGUACCGAAGGAAUAAGGAUCGGCUAACUCCGUG